RNAcentral lists this long non-coding RNA (1225 nucleotides) under Rattus norvegicus (Norway rat). RNAcentral's name for it is "long non-coding RNA NONRATT003863". The record is from RNAcentral. Lineage: Eukaryota; Metazoa; Chordata; Mammalia; Rodentia; Muridae.
CUUUUCCGAAUGGCCCGUAGGCGGGGGCUCUUGCAGUGGGGCCUCCGGGGGUUCUGCCCAGAGAAUGUGAUUCGGGCCGCUGGGUGGGGGGAAGGAGUUUCCCCCUUCACGGUCUCCGGAGACUCCGGAACGUCUUAGCUUCCCGGAUUCUCCCGCUGCACCUGCUCUGGGUGGCCAGGCAACCGGUCGCAUUCCGCCCUCCCCGGCGACCCCAAUCCCAAAGCCAUGUGUAUUGCGCGUGUGUCCGCUACAGGAAUGUGCGUUUCAUCCCUAAUGUCUUGUGUGCCUGGUGAGUGCGAGUGGUGGCAACGUGGCACGUGCAAGUGAGCAUUCGUCCACACAGGGGACCGAUCCGCGUGGGACAGCUCACACGUGUCUGAAACUACCCCACCAGGAUCCCCUGGCUCUCUCUCCGCCUCUGGGAGACCGAAUUCAGGUGCACACUCUUCAAUUCUCGCCUACCCACCCCAAACCCAUGUAAUUAUAAAAAUAAGGAAUAUAAUCUUUUUAAAAAGUCACCCUGAAAAUGAUGUUUCGCUGACUUCUCCGCGCACACUUCCACUAACAAGGUCAGGACAAGAGUUUCCAGCAUGUUCUCUGUCUGGGCCUCGUGUUGUCAUCUUUCCCCGUAGGGACUGUGUGUACGGUGCGUCUCCGUCCUGAAGCCCUCCGUCCGGAAGCCCUCCGUCCUGUAGCACAGCACAGGUUCUUUCAGGGCUCUCCUACAGCUGGCCCUGUUGCUUAGCAGCUGAUCAUAGACUUGUACUGGCACCAGAGACCUGAGAAGGAAUAAAUGUGCCUGAGUACAUAGGAAGUGCAGAGCAAGCGGAUUCCAAAACUGUAGAAACGACAGAGGGGCUGGGUGUCUGGACAGCCACUCAAGGUUUCUCUGCAUUGUUGAAGCUUCAUCUUUGGCCCUCUGGCCCAGAAUCUGACAGGCUGUUCUGUGAAGUGGGAAUCAUGAAGGGCUUGCCUACCUUGUCCUGGUAUAACUUGGCAGUCAACUUCUUCCGUGGCCUGCUUGUCCACAGCUUGGAACGCAUGCUGUCUGCAGUUGAGGCAAAGGCAGUCUCUUGCCCGGUGUCAGCCUGAAGCAAAUUCGGUGUGGAGGGUCCUCAGUGCUCAUCGUCUUUUUUGAAAUGGAAUGGAGGCUGAUGUGUCUCAUUGUCAAAGAGCGAACAAACAAACAAAACACAUUUUUAUCAAUAAAACAUUUUUAAAUGCC